Molecule: long non-coding RNA, 549 nt
Filed under: Homo sapiens (human)
Lineage: Eukaryota; Metazoa; Chordata; Mammalia; Primates; Hominidae
Description: HSALNT0164616
Source: RNAcentral
UUCUCGGUUACCUGCGCGGCUGCAGGCGCCGCCGGGGACUGCACAGGUGGUUUCAGCUUGGAUAAUGGCCUCAGAGAGGGACGAAAAACGCCCCCUGGUUUCCCAGCAGGGUCCGGGGACCCGUCUUAGGUCCCAAGCCUCGAAAAACGUCCCAGGGCGGCUGUGCGGGGUCUGGCGGCGGGAAAGAAGCCCGGGGCACGCUCGGUUUCCGGAUACGGCUAUUCACCGCACCUCACCCUCUGCCCUUUAGGGAGAUGGCCCCCCUCCACCGAUAUUUCCCCGGUUCACCACCCCCACGCCCCGGGAACCGCGCCUCCUCCCCUCCCCCGCGCUCUCCCCGGCGCUUUAAGUAAUGAUAUUUGCAUGCAGGGAGCGAUUCAUAAAUAUGUCAGGGCUGGUGAAAUAUAGGCAACAUUUCAAACUUUCUAUUUAAAAAACAUGAAUUAUGGCCGCGGAAAAUGUGUUCCCAUUUAAAGGCGAUACGAAGUAUUUGGUGUCUCGUCCCCGGGCCCAUCCAUCACGCAGACAAUAAAGAGAGUUUUUCGCCCU